ACCAGAUAAUUGACAGGUUAUUAAGACAGUAUUAAUCUAUUGGACCAGAGAAUGGACAGGUUAUUAGGACAGUAUUAAUCUAUAGGACCAGAGAAUGGACAGGCUAUUAACACAGUUUUAACCUAUAGGACCAGAGAAUGGAGAGGCUAUUAAGACAGUAUUAACCUAUAGGACCAGAGAAUGGACAGGUUAUUAACACAGUAUUAAUCUAUAGGACCAGAGAAUGGACAGGCUAUUAACACAGUAUUAACCUAUAGGACCAGAGAAUGGACAGGCUAUUAACACAGUAUUAACCUAUAGGACCAGAGAAUGGACAGGCUAUUAACACAGUAUUAAUCUAUAGGACCAGAGAAUGGACAGGUUAUUAAGACAGUAUUAAUCUAUAGGACCAGAGAAUGGACAGGUUAUUAAGACAGUAUUAACCUAUAGGACCAGAGAAUGGACAGGUUAUUAAGACAGUAUUAACCUAUAGGACCAGAUAAUUGACAGGUUAUUAAGACAGUAUUAAUAUAUAGGACCAGAUAAUGGACAGGUUAUUAAUACAGUAUUAAUAUAUAAGACCAGAUAAUGGACAGGUUAUUAAGACAGUAUUAAUAUAUAAGACCAGAUAAUGGACAGGUUAUUAAGACAGUAUUAAUAUAUAGGACCAGAUAAUUGACAGGUUAUUAAGACAGUAUUAAUAUAUAAGACCAGAUAAUGGACAGGUUAUUAAGACAGUAUUAAUAUAUAGGACCAGAUAAUGGACAGGUUAUUAAUACAGUAUUAAUAUAUAGGACCAGAUAAUGGACAGGUUAUUAAUACAGUAUUAAUAUAUAAGACCAGAUAAUGGACAGGUUAUUAAUACAGUAUUAAUAUAUAAGACCAGAUAAUGGACAGGUUAUUAAGACAGUAUUAAUCUACAGGACCAGAGAAUGGACAGGUUAUUAAGACAGUAUUAAUGUUUUUCUGAAGAGGAAGGGACAUUUGGCACAUCUUUGUCUGAGAGUUUCUGUUUCCUAGAUGAUGACCGUGUCCACCCGGAUAAAGGUAUAUUUUACUGAAACGUUGUUUAAGAGAUCCAUUAAAUGUUUGGAAGCAUCUGGACCACCAGUGUGCUGGCAUUGUUUAUUUACCGUUAACCAGCAUUCUUUCUCUCUCAUUAUACCUGUUAACACGUCAGGAGGUAUCACUCUUAUUGUGUUAAUUACAGCAGCGUGACAUCACCAACCAGGAAGUCAACAUCUCUCAUUAUACCUGUUAACACGUCAGGAGGUAUCACUCUUAUUGUGUUAAUUACAGCAGCGUGACAUCACCAACCAGGAAGUCAACAUCUCUCAUUAUACCUGUUUACACGUCAGGAGGUAUCGCUCUUAUUGUGUUAAUUACAGCAGCGUGACAUCACCAACCAGGAAGUCAACAGGACGUCUGGGGUUGGAUCACAGUCAUACAGAGACACAGAAGCUCUG
Molecule: long non-coding RNA, 1445 nt
Organism: Oncorhynchus keta (chum salmon)
Lineage: Eukaryota; Metazoa; Chordata; Actinopteri; Salmoniformes; Salmonidae
Exons: 3
Source: RefSeq, a predicted model, not a curated record